This 1454-nucleotide long non-coding RNA is filed under the name Macaca fascicularis (crab-eating macaque). Its description in RNAcentral is "lncRNA (ENSMFAG00000063176.1)". The record is from RNAcentral. Lineage: Eukaryota; Metazoa; Chordata; Mammalia; Primates; Cercopithecidae.
UGAUCUCGACCCUCGGCCUCCCAAAGUGCUGGGAUUACGAGCUGAGCCACCGCCCGGCCUGAAAGUUUUAUCUUGAGCACUGAUGUUCUUAUUGUUAAUGUACUUCCGUCAAUAAAUUAUCAGAGCCUACAAAAUAUUUAAAAAGAAUACAAAACUCCCCAAAUCUACCUGACCCCACCACUAACCAAUUAAUAAAAACGGUUCAGAGGCAUUUUACUUUAACUACCCAGCAAUCUCCUCUUCCUAGUCCUCCCUACAUCGUGACUAGGCUGAAAGAAGAGAUGGCCUACACCAUAAUCAACCAUUGAAAGAUCCAUCAACUUUGUCUGCCAGGAAAACAAUACAAAAUAGAAACAUGAACAAAGGACAGCAAGAGAGUAUAUUAAAUGAUUAUCAGGACUGUGGUGGGCCAAACAGGUGUACCCUCAUUCCUUUUUAGACUCCAAGUCAAUGGUCCAGUAUAUUGUGUAAUAUACCCAACCCAACAUCCUUGCAGUCUUUCAUUACGCCCCCAGUGAUCCUUUUUCAUAUCGAAUAAAGGAAAUAGUUAUUGGCCUAAUAUUUAAAAGUAUUUUCUUAUCCUAGAAGUUCUUUUCUCUCCUCUUCCCCACGCUGAUCUUUUCUUCUAAUCUCUUUCCACCUUAAGACCUUAAGACCAUCACCAAGGAAAACGUCUGUCACUUUUCCGUGGACUGAAAGUUGUUUUCCCAUCUGGCUGGAGACUUGAGUCAUAAAGUUCCUUAAGAUAAGGAUACCAAAUUGUAUUGUUAGAAACUUUGCUCAGAAGUGUUUAAUUCCGCUGUAAAAUAUAGAAUCUCCCAUUGUAAAGUUUAAAUUAAUAGUUCAUAGUACCGACCAAAUAGUACAACCCUCCAAAUUACAUGGGAUUAAAAAAGAUUAGAAGGAAUAAAGAGAAACAGUGUCUCUAUACUCUACUGAUUUACUAGGAGUUGAUUUCUUAAUAGAAAUCAGCAAAUAGUCUAAUACACAAGAGUUUAAUGAUCAAACUUGACUUAAAUUUACUGUUGCUUAUCCUUUAGAAAGUGAUUUUCUUUGAUCAUACAGCAAAGAGAGGAAAUGAAAACUAUUGGGAAAAUAAAUCCUUUAACUAUCUCUAGUCAGCAUUACAGAACAGUAGAAUCAGAUCAAUUAUAAUUAACACUAAUACUUAUUGAGCAUUUACUAUGUUUUAGGCACUGUUUGGUGUUUUAUAUGUGUUAUUUCAUUUAAUUCUCACAAUCUUAUAAAACAGAAUUGUUAUUUCCAUUUCAAAAUAAAACACAGUUUAGAGUGGUGGAAUAAAUACUCCAAGAUGACUUAGAACAUAGAGAAAAUGGGAUUCAAAAUCAGUUGCUGUCACUCUAGAGCCCUUCUUUUAACUACCACAGUGGGCUGGCCAUACAAAACUUAAGAUACUAUUGAAUGAAUAUUACAAGAAAUUUGUAAUCAAAAUG